Long non-coding RNA from Fundulus heteroclitus (mummichog), 101 nucleotides. RefSeq lists it as uncharacterized. Lineage: Eukaryota; Metazoa; Chordata; Actinopteri; Cyprinodontiformes; Fundulidae. The transcript has 3 exons. The record is from RefSeq and is a predicted model, not a curated record.
CGGAAACUCUUUAAAACACGGUUUGUUCCUGAAAAGAUAGCUAUUGAUCCCUUUGGAUAAGCUGACAUGGCAGAGAAAAGGCCAGCUAAGUUGCGAGUGAU